GGGAGCGGGGCGGGGCCGCAUUCCAGCCUCGGGGUGCGUCGGCGGCAGGCGGAUACACGUGACGCGUGCCCCCUCUCCUGCGCCCUAGGCCGGCGCGCAUCGCGCCGCGCACCCUGCAACGUGUGGCCCUCUGCAAAUCAGCAGUUCCCUUAACUUCACUUCCCAGACGGACCACUUGUCUUCUGGCUCCAGCUCUGAGGGAAAGGAAGGGAUGCUUUAUGAUUCCGUAUGUCUGAUGAGAAGACAGGGUACUUCCAUCAUGCAGGAGUGGAGGAUUUGGGAUCAACCCCCCAACAGGAAGGACCCUGUUUGGAAGAGAAGGUCAACUCUGAGGAAUGGAGCCCUGCUGUAAUUCAGGCCAAGACUUGGUUUUACCAGGGAUCACAUUAUGGUGAGCAGGCACAAUGCUCAGCCUUGUCAGUGGAGGGAGCCGGCAAGCCGCCGUGGGAAGAAGGGUUUCUCUCCUUGGUUCUGGUGUGUCCUCUCACCAGGCUCCCGCAGCUUGCCAGGCUUCUCCAGGGCCUGCUCCUGGAGCUCAGGUGACUUCUCAGGCACCAGGUCCACCGCGCACCGCACCCCCCGCCCCCCCCCCCCCCCCCCCCCCCCGCCCUGUGUAGGCUCCCGCGGUGUGGGCGGCUUGUUCAGCGCCUGGGUCCUCCAGUGCUGGGCGGCCAGUAACACACACGGGCUGGUAGCUUCCCUCGGCCCCUUGGGUGGCUUUGCAGUAAUCUUUUUUUUUUUUUUAAAGAUUUUAAAAGAUUAUUUAUUUGAGAGAGAGUGAGCAUGAGUGGGGGGGAGGGGCAGAGGGAGUGAAUCUUCAAGCAGACUCCCUGCUGAGCUCGGAGCCCCACCUGGGGCAGGGGAUCCCAUGACCCAUGAGAUCAUGACCUGAGCCGAAACCGAGUUGGACAUUUAACCGACUGAGCCACCCAGGCGCUCCAUUUUGCUAUAACUUUUGAUGUCCAUGCAGUAGCACCCCAGAUGGCUGAUUUCCGGCAAGUUCUACAGGGACAGCACCUCACUGACUUCUUCCCCAUUUACUGAGCCACAGCUAUGUCUCCUCUCUAAGGAGAUCUGAAUCUUGGCCCUGGUAGGAGGGAGAGGGGCGGAGAGCUCUUCUUAAGGGCCUAUCUCAGCCCUAGGAGUAGUGGCUGUUGCUUAGGUCUUCUUUUCCUAUAUUCUUUAGAGUUCUCUUUAACUUCUUGUUAGCUAAUGCCUCAGCACUCCAUUAGAGUAAAUAAUAAUUCCUUAUAUUGAGGUUUCCCUAUGCAAAUUACUGUGUGGUUUCUGUCUCGAGAUUGGACUCUGGCUGAUCCAGUGGAGGAUAGCGAGACUGGUAAUGUGGUGAGGAUAAAGAACCUCAAGUGAGCAAAACUCACGUGAGAGCAGGCUUUUGUCUUGCAAUCCAGUGAUACCCUGAAACCAGUGAGCUGGGUGUCCAAGCUCUUUCAGAAGACAGUAUUGAUAAUAAAGCUAACACAUAUGAGCUCUAGGCACUUUGCAUCUCAUUGAAUCCCCACAACAGCGCAGUGAUACUGAACCAUUGCUGUUCAUCUCAUUAUGCCAAUGAAGAAGCUGAGGUUAGAGACUUGCACGAUAUCAACGUCUUCCAGCUACAGCUGCUGCAUAACAAAUCACCCCAAAACUUAGUGGCAUAAAUGACCAUUUUAUUAUGCUCAUGGAUUCUGUGGGUCAGGAUGUUUUAUUUAUUUUUUAAGAGAUUUUAUCUAUUUGGCAGAGGAGGGGCAGAGGGAGAGGGACUCUAAAGUAGACUCCACAUUGAGCACAGAGCUGGACGUGGGACCUCAGGUCUCACGACCCUGAGAUCAUGACCUGAGCUGAAAUUAAGAGUCGGAGGCUUAACUGACUGAACCACCCAGGUACCCCAGGUCAGGAUGUUUUAAAAUGUCAGGAUUUUGGUUUUAUUUAGGAACUGUGAGGCCAACAGAUCAGAUGAUGGCUGCCAUUGAAAAGAUAACUUGGGGGCGCCUGGGGGGCUCAGUCAGUUAAGCAUCUGCCUUCGGCUCAGGUCAUGAUCCUGGAGUCCUGGGAUCGAGUCCCACAUCGGGCUCCCUGCUCAGCAGGGAGUCUGCUUCUCCCUCUGACCCUCCGCCCUCUUGUGCUCUCUCUCUCUCACUCUCUCUCUCAAAUAAAUAAAAUAAAAUCUUUAAAAAAGAAAAGAAAAGAAAAGAUGUUACUCACAGUUCCCCAGAGGAAGGGACAUGCCAUACCACACAUGGCCACACUGGCAAGCACCAGGGUCAGUCAGGAGGCAGAAGGGGCAAAAGCAUGGACAUGAGCUUUUAUUAUAGUUUUUGUGGGAAGAAAUGGGUGAAACAAAGUAUGCAGCUAGGCAAGUUUAGGAUUGGCUAGUUUGAAUAAUUCCAGCAGGCUCUGGGGCAUAGGGACUGUCUCCAGUUGUCUGAUACCUUUCCCUGGGAUGAUUAGGGCAGGGGAAUAUUGCCUCCUGGAGUGUAAGAGCCCAAAUAAAGGAGGUGGUUUGGAGUUGGGCUCAGGAUUGGUUGGUUUGCAUGUCAAAGGCAUACUCUCAGUCACAUUCUUUGCUACCUUUAGGAAUUAGCUAAAUCUGGGAGGGGCAGUCCCUCCCUGGAUCUGCAAGGUCCCAAGAUGUCAAAACAACACAAAACAACAGAAAAUAGAAAGCAUGAAUGAUACACAGGAAUUGAGAGAGUGCACAGUGGGAGUGGCUUGUCUCUGCCCUUUGAUGUCAGAACUCCGGCUGGAAGUCUUGAACGCACAGGUUGCUUUGACAGCUGGGGGUUGGAAUCAUUUGAAAGCUCAUUUCCUAUGUCCGGUGCCUAGGCUGGGAGAACUUGAAGGCCAAGGCUGCUGACUGGAGUGCUUCGGUGGUUUCUCAACGUGACCCGGAACAGAGACUUCUUCCAUGGUGGCUCAGGGCUGCAAGUGUGAGUUCUAGUGACCAAGGCAAGAGUGGCUUUGUCUUUUGGACAGAACUUAGAAGUCAUACAGUGUGGUUCCUGCCAUCCUGUUUGUUAUAACUGAGUCACAAGCUUACCCAGAUUCAGGGGAAGGGGACAUAGAUGCAAGCAUUCCAGUGCUGAUAAGAAACAAAUCUGUUUAAGAUAGCUCAGGUGAAGAAGUACGGGGGGUGUUGUUACUGGAAAGCAACGGUGAGUUCACAGAAAUGAAGUGUAGCAGAACAACCGGAAGCAAGUCACAGGCAGCUGUCCUCUCUCACCAUCUUUUGUCCCUGUUUAGCUAGCUGCCUGUGAUGGUUAAUUUUAUGUGUCAGUUUGACUGGGCCACAGAGUGCCCAGAGAUUUGUUCAGAUAUUAUUCUGGGUGUGUCUGUGAGGGUGUUUUUGGAUUAGAUUAACCUCUGAAUUGGUAGACCAAGUAAAACAGAUUGCCCUCCCUAAUGUAGGUGGGCCUUGUCUAAUCAGUUAAAGGCCUAUAUAGUACAAAAAGGCUGACCCUCCCACGAGUAAGAAGGACCUCCUUUUGCUGACUAUUUGAGUGGAGACAUUGUUGUAUUGUGUGUGUGUUUUAGAGAGAGCAUGUGUGCAUGCAUGCAAGUGGGGAUGGGGGCAAGUGUGGGGGAGAGUCUUAAGCAGGCUCCAUGCUCAGCGCAGAGCCUGACGUGGGGCUCGAUCUCACAACCCUGAGAUCAUGACCUGAGCCGAAAUCAAGAGUCAGAAGCUUAACCGACUGAGCCACCCAGGUGCCCUGAGACAUUGAUCACCCCCACCUCCUUCUUCAGACUCUAACUGAAACACUGGCUCUUCCUGGGUCUUGAGCCUUCAGCCUUUAGACUAAACUAUGCCAUGGCUCUCCUAGGUCUCCACCUUGCCAACUGCACAUCUUGGGACUUAACAGCCUCCAUGAUUACAUUUUCUUAUAGUAAAUCUAUAUGUAUAUAUCUAUCCAUCCUGUUUCUUUAGACAACCCUAACACACUGCCCUUUUAUCUGCAGAUCAACUUCCUCUGCCAGCUCAGGCUUUCUACUCCUAAAUUUGCCUCAUGCACUGGCUUUGGUUACUCCACCACUAACUCCAUUUAGGAACGACCAUUUGGCCAAAUUCCAAAAGAAGGAAUCUGAUAGGCCCAGUUUGGGUCAGAAGAGGAGAUGGGAAAGUAGGGGCAGAGCUUUAUAGUAUAAAUAUACCAUCUAUAUCUAGAGCCACCACUCCAACAGGGGCUGUGGGUAUGGGGAGAGGGCUGCCAUAGGAGAGGCAGGCAGCCUCCCAAAGCCCUGAAUAUUCUUGCUGCUUCUCUUGAUCCUUGAAUGCCAUGAUGUUCGCUAUUUUUUUUUUAAGAUUUUAUUUAUUUGACAGAGAGAGACACAGUGAGAGAGGGAACACAAGCAGGGGGAGUGGGAGAGGGAGAAGCAGGCUUCCCACUGAGUGGGGAGCCCAAUGUGGGGCUCGAUCCCAGGACCCUGAGAUCAUGACCUGAUCCGAAGGCAGACGCUUAACAACUGAGCCACCCAGGUGCCCCGAUGUUUGCUAUUUUGGCAUCUUCCUGAUGGGUCAGGACAAGGUUCUUCUUGGUCUCUAGUGGUUUCUGUGAUCUUUGAUCUCUUUCAGUCAUGGCAGUCAUGUCCCACUCUGUCUUGGUUGGUGGGGGAGCCGGGGAAACCAGAGUUGGAGAAAAUCUUCAUAAUUUGCCACAUCUGUAGGAGGCCCCAGGAGUAAUGGGAGCUGGAGACCAAGUGGUAGAGGAGGGGAGACCACAUUUGCUUUUGCUCUGUGGUUUCAGUGAAUAAUGUCUUAUAAAGAGUCCGGUGAGACUAGACCUAAGGGGCAAGUUCAUGGUUAAAGUAGACUCAGGGAAUCUCAGACAGUUGUAGUGUUUCCAGUGGUCCAGAAAUCUAAAUUUAGUUCCUAGCUUAAUCUUUCUGAAUCUUAUUUUCCUCAACUGUCAAGUGGAGACAAUGAAUUACCUAUCUGCCAAGGUUGUUGCAAAGGCCAAGGAGGAGAUGCAGGUGAACACUCAGCACAAAACAUCAUCUGAUGGAGACUCUCGGCUCUAGGCCAAGCCUUGGACCUUACUCCUCUUGCUUUAAAGCUCCAGCCGUGGGUAGGCUAGAGAGUUCAGGGGACAAAUCCCCCUUUCCUGGAGACCCUUCACAUAGCAGGGUCAGAAAUAGAAACAGCAUACACAGUCAGCCUCCCCCAAGUGCAGAUCUUGGGGCCUGUGACAGCCACAGCCACUCUCAUGGCCCCAUGCCUGGCCCCCUACAUGCUGACCAUCUCUGCAGCAUGGGGAUCAUUUUCUUUGUCACUGCUCAGGGGCAAUCCUCUGAUGUCUUGUGACCUCCAAGAUCAAGGCUGAAGUCUGAGAUAUAUGCACUGCUUAAAGGCCUGGAUUUGGAGAUCAAAUAUUUGAAUUUCAUUCUCCAUUAGAUUGACAUUAGAUAAGUCACAUAAGCUCUCUGUGCCUCAGUUUCCUCCUUUUAGAGUGGAGGUGGUUUUAAUGGCCCCACCUCACAGAGCUGUUGCGGGAACUAAGUGAGACAAGAGUGGAAAGCACCUGGCAUGGUGCCUGGCACGUGGUGAAUGCUUUGCAAACGUUGGUUACUACUAUUGAGCCACUUCCACUUUUAUCUGAGGCUGACUGGCAGAGUGGUGGUGUUUGAUUCCGUCCAUCCUGGCUCAGAGUGUCCAUCUUUAUAGGUGAGGCCCCUCCUUUCCCAGGAAUACGGUCUGCUGGUGUCUGCACAUCCCCAUCAUAGUCCCAGUAGGAGGUCAUCUUCAGCACCUCAUGGGCAGCCAAUUAAUGGUGAAGUCUCAUGGGCAUCUACCUUGGUCACCCAUGGUUACUUAGCGUUAGGGACCCGGCCUUCCCAGCCAGUGUUCUGGGUGGCUUCACACCCAGAUAAGCCUCACAGGGUACCUGUGGCUUCAGGUCUGGUCCUGGCCAGCUUCUCCUGGGGAGUGAGGUCUGAGCUUUGUCAGAGUCAAACACCUUUACCACUUCAUGCCCAGCCUGUGGCCCCUUGCCUCUGUCUGCCCAAGGGGCCCAGAAUCCAGGCCACUUCAUAGCUCCAGUGAAGGCUAGGUACUCCUUGGAGGCUGGAGUAACAAACUGAAGAGCCAUCCAGGUUCCUACCCAACUCCAACCUAGAGGGAACCCCACCCACCAUUCCAGAGGUCCCUGUUCCCACAGCCUUGGGAACAGGCCUGGACAAGUGAGCCACUUGGCUGACAAACGAGAGUUCAUGUGCAGAGCCCUCUGCCCCGAGUGAACACUGGAUUGUGAGUCAGGAGACCUAAGUUCUAAACUCGGCACUCACAUCAUCAACCAGCUGUGUGACCUGGGGCAAGUCACUUACCUUCUCCAGGCUUUAGUUACCCCUUCAUAAAAGCAGAAGCCUGGAGCAAAUGAUCUUUAAGGCCUCUUCCAACUCAGGUAUAGGAGUAGCAUAAUGCCAGGUACGUACAUAGUAGGUGUUCAGGAAAUGUUUAUUUAGUAAUUUAACUCUAAGAUUCAAGGCAAGAUUCUGCAGGUCCCAACACCCAUCUACUUCCUCACUGUGAGUUUUGCUUCUGCUGUUAGCUAAUUUAUGUCAAGUGCUGGCUCAGGGCCUGGCACAUAAUAGGUAUUAAACCAAUGUGAGUUGAGUCCAUAUAUGCAGUAAUUUACAGUAGCCCAGAGACUGAAGACAGAACUGACUGAACAUCAGGGGUGGGUUGUGGGAUCUCAGGGUGGCCACGCAUUCCUCCUUGUUAUAAGCUGUCUUCCCUUCUGGGCAUGUGAAAGUCAUUGCUUUGGGGUUUAGAGUACCCAGCAAGCAUCACUACUUCACUACUUCUUGUUCCCUGAGCAACACAGGCCCUGCUUUUGCUCACACGGUUCCCUCUGCCUAUAGCACCUGUCAGGGCUGUGAUUUACCCUGCUUACAAGCUAAUAAGCUAGCCUGCUGUUGUUUCAUGAAUGUGGGCAGAAGACACGGUUUCCUGAGUCGGACUCAAAGGAUUUAUCAUUCUUGGCACAGCAAGCAGCAUGAGCAUUAUCCUUAUGUCUCUUUCCCUUGUUCCCUAGUUUCAUGGGGGGCAAAGCAGAGGGGCCCAGGUAGAUGGGUUACCCACGCAGGAGCUUUAUGUCGCAGCUACGGAGUCCUGAGCUUGGAGCACCCACCCCUGUCCCUUCCUGCCCCCACCACUUUUAUAGUAAGCAGCAAGCAAGCCUGCUCUUUGUCUGGGAGAUGUUCCCUUAUCCCACAACGUUGCUGCCUGCAGAACACAACGGUGAGCAGUGGUGGGAAGGCGAAUGGGCGACCAGGGCUCUGCAUUCUUAGCACACUCAGUGGUUAGAGCCAGAGCUGCUCAGGCCCCAUGGUGGACUGCCUUGCCCAACAACGCCUAGCCCGGAUCUCUGCUUGUCACAGUUCUAUCCACUCUCCAGAGACACUUCAAUCUGAAAGCUUUCCCAGCCCUCCCAUCACACAUACUUUCCCUUUUGGAUUUCCUUGCAUCCACCUCUUUCUUUUGUGCCCACAGCUGUCCCUCCACUACCAGAAAAAGCGUGAACACUGAGGGCGGGAGCUCGUGCUCCUUAUUCCUACAUUCCACACCCCGAUUGUUUGCAUCCCGCAGGUGCUUAGGUCUUAUUUGUUGAGUUGGAGGAAUCAAGAUCUUCUUGCAUGCUUAUGCUU
Mirounga angustirostris (Northern elephant seal) is the source of this 7638-nucleotide long non-coding RNA. RefSeq lists it as uncharacterized. The record is from RefSeq and is a predicted model, not a curated record. The transcript has 3 exons. Lineage: Eukaryota; Metazoa; Chordata; Mammalia; Carnivora; Phocidae.